UAUCUUGCAGCGCUUUAAUUAGCCAAUACAUAAUAAUCAUUGAAAUAAUAUUUGCAUG
RNAcentral lists this non-coding RNA (58 nucleotides) under unclassified sequences. Its description in RNAcentral is "S15-Flavobacteria ribosomal protein leader". It matches the Rfam family "S15-Flavobacteria ribosomal protein leader". The record is from RNAcentral.